UAGAUAGCAUCAUUUACACACCAGAGGGCAGAACCUGUUUGCUCGCUUAUACAGUAACUGAUAUGGUAGUUGAUGUAGUUUCCUUUCUCAGAUGAAGAAGAAAAAAGGUCGUUUUUUUUCUCUCCAAACCAGUCAUUUACCUUUAGGUGCAACAUGAUUACACAUCUAAUCAGCACUGCUAUCUUGCUGCUGUUUUUAACAGGCUGCUCAGUGAACUCUACAAUCACACAGACCCCCGCUCACCUGCUGCUCGAAAACAACGCAGAAUCAGCGAGUCUUAAUUGUUCUCACAAAGAUCCAACCUUCACCGUCAUCCUCUGGUACAAGCAGCCUAUGAAUGGGGAAAUGCAGCUCAUGGGGUAUCUAUACAGGAUGAAUAUUAACCCAGAGUCCGAUUUUAAGGAGAAGAUUGAGCUUUUGGGGAACGGAGCAAGUUACAGUGAUUUGACACUGAAAAAACUUUCCCCAGAUGACAGUGCGAUCUAUUACUGUGCAGCAAAAGAACACGGUGCUGUGGGUUUCCUGCACUUCUGCACAAAAACAUUAUCACAAACCCCUAUACAUUACAUCUCAGUGUCACUCUUUCUUUAUGUUAAGAAGGUAGAAUGUUUCUAGCAUGUCAAAUUGAAUAGCCACGGG
This is a non-coding RNA of Puntigrus tetrazona (Sumatra barb), 639 nucleotides long. The record is from the annotation of a RefSeq genome assembly. Lineage: Eukaryota; Metazoa; Chordata; Actinopteri; Cypriniformes; Cyprinidae.